GUAACUAAAAUUCAAGCUAUAAAACUUCAUUCGGGUUUCCAUGCAGCGAUAAACAGCGAGGCCAUAGGAGCCCUCAGCGCAGGCCUCGCUGUGGCGGCGGCCCGGGGCGGCUGUGGCGCCGCGCUGCUCUGUGGAGCUGCGGCACCGCGCGAGGGCAGCGCAGCCCCGCGGCCACACCGCGCUCAGGCGGAGCGAGGGUUUUUGUGGAGUUGCGGUGAGGAAAUGCGAGUUUUGCGGUGCUGGGGACGUCUUCGGCGCGUUGUUUAUUGCCGCGGGGUUUUGCCUCACCAGGUGGUUCCGCAAAGCAGAGUUUCAGGCAGCUGAGGACUCUGAGUGGCCCUUCAUUGUGACAAUCAGUGACUAUGGGGAAAAAUUGCAAAGGAUGCAAAAUGAUCUUAGCAUGAGAGAAGGGGAAACAAGCAGAUGGGAAGGUAACUUCUCAUGCGAAGAGCUGUGUUUGCAUCAUUGAGUGUCCUGUGAGUGCCCUGCUGCCAAGAGGAGUUGACCGCUGUCACUUCCCCCUAAAUCUUAAAAACUCAACUCCACAAGUGAUUUUUAUCUUUAUACCAUUGUUUAAAUCUGUUCUGAAGUUGCCAGUUGUGGCUAGAGUGUAUCCUCUUGCUCCCUGUGCUCCCUUUGGCUAGCACAGGAGAUUGUGUCACUUAUUUUCUCUAUAUUGCCCGUUUGUCCAUUAUCUACAGAUUGGGGCCAUUAAACGUCCUGAGAAAGCACGCGGACUGUAGGCAUGGCUGUCCCUGGCUGGCUGAAUGCCCACAGGAUCAGCAUCGCUCUGGAGGGGAGGCAUCGGAGGAAGAAUCCUUGCAGAGAGAACCCAGAUUUAUUUUGGAUGGUGGUUCUGCUUUAUCAGCUGGCAAACACCCUGAACAAUUGAGAGGGCUUCAGCCUGCCUGCAGGUGCCUUUACCACAAAUAAUUUUAAUGUAGAAAUCCACGGUAACUGAACUGAACUGACUGUCAUCUGCAAGCUGUAGUAAAGAUUUUCCAGUAAUGUUACUACUUAAAUCCCUCAGAUAGUUGGGAUGCCAAACACCAAACAGGAGCGUGUUGUGGGCAGGUUGCUGGGCUGUUGGUAGUUUCUUCACGUCUGCAGUUGUGUGCCCUGGCUCAGAAUGAAUAGAUUCAGAGUGAACCAGUUUCCCAGUGCCCUCACAGCCUUUUCUCUGCGGUGAGUCUCUAAAUGGCUGCUGCUACCUAUUCUCAGGGUCUCACUGCAAGUCUUCUCUUUCGCGUGUGCUUUUCCUCUGAGGCCCAGCACUCUGAUAAAUGGCAUGAGGUCAGUCUGAAAAAUGUCUUGGAUGCUUCACCUUGCCACAGCAGAUGACGCAGGUACCAGCAGGAGGACUGGGAAGCCGUGCUGUCUGCUUUGGGGCAGUUCAUACGUUACAUGCUUGUAUUAACUUCUGGGUGUGACACUCCACCCUAUGCAGGACUUAUUUGUUUUGUUAAAGCCAUUUCUUUCGGAAUAUCAGCAUUUCAGUCCAGCCUUUGCACUUAUCUGCCACCCUGCAACAGUUUAUUCCCUGGCUGUGCGCUUCAGUCCACCAGCUCUGGACCUUUGCACUUUACAUAGAUGAUCCUGCCCAGGUUACAGAUUCACACGGUAAAUUACUGUAAUGUUGUGUGCAAAGAACAUCCUGCUCCAGCAAAAAAUAUUCCACAUCAAUUUGAUUUAAAGUGGUAUCGAUGCCUUGAACCUGACUCUCUAGAAAGAGGAGAGGAAACAGCACUGUCUACUGGGUGAUUUUCAGAGCUGCCAACUGAGCUUGUUGGUUUUCUGCUGGUGUCUGACAGUUACGAGGAGCGCAGCAGACAUUACUGCACACCAGUGAGAAAUGCAAACUGCCAUCACAGUAGUAAGUCUCCCUUGCUACUGGUAUUUGAAUUCCCGGCCUUCUGCCCCAGUGAAAACUGAAAUUUAAAUACAAACUUAAAAUUUUCCAAGAGGAAUUUCUACAGAUCAAUUUAAAAAUGUACAGCUGUUUGUGUAGAGGCCAAUUUCUCCCACUCUGGCUUGCUGUUUGUCUUCAACUUUUAAACAGUUGCUUUUUUUUAAUUUAUUUGGGCAUUCACAGCUGAGUGAAUCUCUUAACAUGAAGAGUCAGAUAGGGGAUUUGUACUGAUACAGAGCAUGACCUCUGAAUUAUAUAAUAUAAUUCCUUUGUUUAAGCAUACAAAUUAAUUUUCUAAUUGGUUUACUCAUUAAGAGCUGGUAAUGCUGCACCUUGCUUUGUCAUUUAUAAUCCUGGGCUGUUUUAAAAGAUGGGGGAUGAAAAAAAGCAAGGGGUAGAUGGAGGAAAAAAUUGCUUUUCCAGCUAACAUUACAAAUAACAUCAUUGAUAAUAUAAUGCUCAUAGGAAUUUGAUUGUCACAGAUGACUUCUCUUAACAAGAACAGAUUGUGAUGUUGACUGAGGGCAUUCUGCAAGGAGCUUCUUUAAGAAAGCGUUGGGCACAAAUUCUAACUGAGGAGCAUUAAGAGCAAUGGAAUUAAAGCACAGCCUUUUCUUAGUUUUGCUCUCACAUAAGUUUGAAGAUGAGAAAAAGCAAACAGAAACCCAGCAUCAGUGUCAGGUACACGCAAGCAGGCUGAUACUGGGUAAGCUUGUACAGAGUGUGCAGUGUGGAGAGUGUGAUACAGUGCUGUGCUGGAAAUGAUCUGUUUGCCAUGGAGUACCCUGGGAUAAUUGAGUGCUCUAUAAUGAGGGUGCAGGAUGUGUUAAUCAUCCCAUUUCAGCUCUCUUGGCAGGAAUCUGACAGUUGCUUACAGCAAAGCAGACACAGAUACUUAUGGUUUUAUAGCCGCUGCCAUGUGACCAGCAGAUUUUAUUAUUGUGCUGUUCUUCCUGAUUUUCUAAACGGAGGAGCAAAAUGCUGUACCGUUUUCAUCUGCUCUGCUGGGAUAAACUUGUGCAAAAAAAAAACGUAAAAUAAUUUUGUUGUUGCGUUUUAAGCUUUCUCUCACUUUUUCUCUGCUUUUACAUUUAAGCUCUAUUUAGUUUGGUUAACCAGAAAGUUGAAAGCUUUAGCAAGAUCUAUUGUUUGAUGAAGCUGAGGCUAACUUAGCCAUGUAUAUCUUGACCAAAGUUAGAAAAUGGCCUAUUGAAGUGCAUGCUUUUAUCUCACAGCCGUUUUACAAAGCUCUGUGCAUUGCCCCGCGUUACUGAAACGAGCCACUAGGUUUCACCAAACCGUCGUCUCCAUCUGAAAACUGCAUCUGCCACUGAGGUCAUUUGGGUCUUCCUGAAAAACUGUCAGGCGUGUUUUUUUUUUCUUUUUAACAGUCUUCAUGUGAGGCAUUUAUGAAUCACGAGCUGUGACUUAUCUGUUGCCCUGCCAUCUUCUCCCUGUCGCAAUCUCAAAUAAUUCCUAUGGCUGCAAUAAAAAUUGCACUGACUUCUUCCCAUGCAACAGGAAUGUUUGCAUUUUAUGAGCUUUAAUAGCUGUUUUUAAAAUAAAUCAGUCUUGUAUUGUAACUUGUGUAGUCAUAUCUGUGGGAUCAUAAACCUUAACAUCCCUUUUAUGCUCUGGCACUGCAACAGUAACAAUCAGGACAAUAGAAACUUGCUUCAGUUUUUUUUGUAUGGGUGACACUGGAGUCUCUUUUUGCACUGCUUGAUAAGACACUGUGUUGUCUGCCACUCAAAUUGCACUAAAAUCAUCAAAGUAAAAGGAGCUGCAGCAAUAUUUCUGCUUAUAACCUGCUUCAGAGCCUUUAUCUAACUAUCAUAACGCCCGGUUCCCAAAAAUGAUUCAGUUCUGUCAGUGAUGUGGGGCACUGAAAUUUCCUGAGGUUAACUGUGAGUCUUUCCCUUUGCUUAUUCAUGUUUGGAAUGAAGUGCUGCAGAAAGCCCUGCAGUGAGUUUAUCUGAACAGGAUGGGGAAGCCUUCAGCACCUUAGUGGCUGUCUGCAUGCCUUCCUCCUUCAUUAAGCAGCAUCUUUCCUUUAUUUAAACAGAUCACUGUUUUCCUCUCAGAUUUAUUCCUAGGUUCAACAGGAACUCUUGGAUUCCAUGACACAAAACAUUGUGUUUUACUGCUUGUAAGGAAGCAUUUCAGGUGAUGUGUACAGUCAAAUGAUUCUAGUUUUUAGAAAUAUAGCUUUCUUGGUAGAAAAUGACUAUGAUUUACUCAGGCCUUAAUCUCAACGUCAGUGCAAUCAGCAAAAUGUAAAACUUCUGUCUUCCUCUCUAAUAAAUUCCUCAUAACUGCAUGCAUCUGUAACCUAAGCAAGGUACUUCUCUCACAUGCUGGGAACAAUGACUUCUCUCAGUAACCUGGGAAGUGAAUGGGUGUUGUCACGAUGGUAAUUUUAGUAGAUGGAAAGUAAUAUAUUUUUCUAUGAGGUUUCCUUCACACGAUAAAAAGAAAAGGCGUUGGGAAAUUUAACUACAUGAAAGUAGGUUAUAAGGAAACAAAUGUCAUAGGUAAUAAAGUGAUGUCAGUUCUUUUCUUUUUAAAUUCAAACUGUGUUUGAGUACUAAAUGUCUGAAUUGUUUCUGAAUACAUUAAUAAGUAAAAGAUUAGAAAAUAGUCCAAACUUAUCACAGUCUUUGAAAACUUGAUACCCUUUACAUUAUAACUUUAAAUGGAAUUUGCAUUCGACUCUAAGAAAGAAAAUAAUCUUCCAGAGACAUUUAAAUUAAUUGCUGUAGUUAAUUUCACUCAUAAUUUUACAUUUUUGACUGAUUGUAAUCAAGUUUUAUGGAGUAUAUGUGUUUAUUUCUGUCAAAAGCCUGAAAUUGGAUUUGUUUGGGGGGGAAAUGCAUUUAAACUUGGUACUGAAAACUGCACGUUCUCAUUCUCAGCAGUUGGUUUGAGUGAGUUGUGUCUGUGCUCAGGAGGGCCCCGCCGAGGUCACCGUGCUUGCUGCUUCUGCUGCCCUCUUGCUCCUGGAGACUUUUCCCUGCUUCCAUCUCCUCUGAUUGCUUUUUAACCUGCCUCUGUGAAACAUUUCAGGUUCAAAAAUGCCAGUGAAUAUUUUUAAUAGAGAGACAGUGUCUCCCACAGCUUGACUUGUGGAGUUGGGGAGGACUCUUGUCUGCACGGUUUGGGUUGCUGGCAAUGACUGGUGUUAACGCAGCAGCCCUAGUGCUCAGCACAUCUUGCAAAUAUGUGCAAAUAACUCCAUGGUGCUGGGCACUGGCACACGUGGUCCCAGAGUGCUGCCAAGUGGAAGUGCUUUGGAAACUUCCCCUGUGUGUACCGAGGGCUAUCCAUUCCUGCCAGCCCAAAGCAGCUCUAAUUGGAGGAAAUCCUCUUGCAGCUUGUUGUUUGCUAUCACAUUUGUACCACCCUGGGGUGAGUGACAACACCUGAAGCAAGGUGGGGAAGCUGUGGUAGUUUUGUCGUCUGAGGGGACAGACUGGGGCCUCCCCUCAGCCUGACGGAAAGGCCCUGAGAAAAUGGCCGCCAGCAGUGGUGGGAGCUGUGCGGGUCUCCACUUUGCCCAACACUCGGCCAUCCUGAGAGAAUGUUUCCUUUAUUUUUUUCUCCCUCCACAAUUUUUCCUUCAGGUUAUCUACAAGCAGCAGGGCAGCCCCUGCUUUUGAUUCCAGUUCUGGCAACAGCAGGUGCUGCAGCCCAGCACUGCCACAGUGCCAUGCCCAGCCCUCAGCCCCAGCCUGGGGCUUUGCUGAAAUGUACAGUGUUGGGAUUCUCUGUCAAUGGCCUCCAUCUCCAUGCUGGUUGUCAGGUAGGUGUGAAGCUAGACCUGUUUUCCUGGGGCAGAUCUAUUCCUCCAUCUCUCAGUCCCUAAAAGCUUGUACUCAGAUCAGUAUGAUCCAAGGCUGGAAAAAGAGCACUUUGGGCUUUUAGACAUGGACAAGACCCACUGAAGUGUGCUGUAUUCCUAGCUGCUGUUCAGCCUCACAGUGAAUUGGCUCUUUCCUGGCAGUCAUUACAAGUAAACCCUAUACCCAAAUCCUACUGCCUCUGAAGGAUGGACUUCUCAUAAGCUAUUUCCAAUCUUGUGGUAAUCUCCCAAAAUAAUCUUCCAAACUCUUUUGUGAGAGGAAUCUGCCAUUUUGAACACAUGUGCUGUUCAUAUGCUGUUUUCUGAAAUCCAAAUGGUACUAUUGAAUGGCAAAGCCACUGCUCAUUUUUGUCGCUUUAAACCUAAAAUACACUACUCUAGAGAAUUUUAGUUUCUAGCAUUGUUUCAUUUUCUAUUAGUUUAUGUGACUAAACACUGGGAUAUAAUGGUCUUUAACCCUGGUUCCAGUGUAUGUAAAAUGUGUUAACAAAGUUUUGUGUUACCCUCUCUCUAAGUAGGAAAACACUAUUUCUUGGUUUUUUUUAAACAUUCCUCCCUCAGUUCUUUUCUAUAGCAUCACAAGUUAGCUAUUAGUUCUUUAGGAGUUUCUGUAGUUUCCUGUUUUCUUGCCAGUGGGGGAGGUUUCCUGCCAAAAUUCAUGUGGAUACAAUUCUUGAAAACCUGUUCCUGAAGCUACCUGUGAAUAACAAUUACUUCUCCAUAAGUACUGUCACAAAAUAAAACCAAAUGUUCCACUUGAAACCUUUCUGUCUUUCAAUGUUUUUGACUGAAUAGCUGUUGCUAUAGAUUUGUAUUGAUUUACUGCAUUAAUGCUAGUCCUGUUGUUGUCAUACUCAGCACCAGAACAGCAUGUGUACACUUGGUUGCCGAGGAGCCUCUAAAAAAGAACAAAUUGAACUAGAUCACUGACACAGAUACAGACUGUAGCUCCCAUGGCCCUCUGCUGUUUGUGUUGCAUGCAUUCUAUCAACAUCCAUGAAGUUCACAAAUUGAAUUAAAAUUAUGAAGCUUUGUGAGGCUUGGGACAGCUUAAAGACUUCUGUUAUCGUGAGCUGCUGUAACAGCUGAAAAUAAGCAGGUGUGCAUUAAUGUCUGAUAAGUCUAGGUAUGGGGACAUGGAGCUGUUGUCAGGGAGCCCACGGUCAGAGGGGACUGAUAAUCUAUGUUGCAAAAAUGGAAAAGUAUGGUGUCUCCAUGCUUUAAUUUUUAUGAAAAAAAAUAUAUUGCAUAUUACACCUAUGUGUCUUACACCAAAAAUGUGAGAAAAAUAAAAAAUAUUGUCAAGAAGAAUAUAUUGUCAAGAAUGCACUGCCAUUGCUUGAAACACAGUUCUGCACAUUGUAUAAGCCAAGUUCUUGGCAUCUGCUGAAGUGAAAUUACUUAGGUUGCACUUGUCUUUGAGGAUAGGACCAGUAUGAUCUUUUCUUGACAUGUUCUCUACUUGCAGAAUAUUGAGAAAUGUAAUGAAAAUAGUUACGAGCAAAAGAGAGAGAUACAUUUAUCUUGGCUAACUUCUACAUGGGUGGUUAUACUGGGUAGAUCCACGGUACUAUUUGUUGUCGUGUAAGAAGCCUGCAUGGCCUCUACCUAGUGAGCUGGAAGUGGUCCCUAGGUCUGGUGAGCAAGGUACUGUACUCAAAGCUAUUUUGUCAGGGGACAGGUGAUACUUUGAUGGCCAAGGUGAAGUAAAAAGCUCCAGGAGCCUGUUGACAUCAGUAAUGCCCCAAUGUAGUACAGUUCCCUCCCCUCCCUCGAACCACCCUGAGAAAAAGCAAAUCUGACCCUAAAACUUGUGAAGAAAAUAGAAAAAAAGAAGCAU
Molecule: non-coding RNA, 7611 nt
Organism: Meleagris gallopavo (turkey)
Lineage: Eukaryota; Metazoa; Chordata; Aves; Galliformes; Phasianidae
Source: RefSeq, a predicted model, not a curated record